AACGAACGCUGGCGGCAUGCCUAACACAUGCAAGUCGAACGAAGUCUUCGGACUUAGUGGCGCACGGGUGCGUAACGCGUGGGAAUCUGCCCUUGGGUGCGGAAUAACUUCUCGAAAGGGAUGCUAAUACCGCAUAAUGUCGUAAGACCAAAAGAUUUAUCGCCCAAGGAUGAGCCCGCGUAAGAUUAGCUAGUUGGUGGGGUAAAAGCCUACCAAGGCGACGAUCUUUAGCUGGUCUGAGAGGAUGAUCAGCCACACUGGGACUGAGACACGGCCCAGACUCCUACGGGAGGCAACAGUGGGGAAUAUUGGACAAUGGGCGAAAGCCUGAUCCAGCAAUGCCGCGUGAGUGAUGAAGGCCCUAGGGUUGUAAAGCUCUUUACCAGGGAUGAUAAUGACAGUACCUGGAGAAUAAGACUCCGGCUAACUCCGUGCCAGCAGCCGCGGUAAU
RNAcentral lists this ribosomal RNA (451 nucleotides) under uncultured bacterium. Its description in RNAcentral is "bacterial SSU rRNA". It matches the Rfam family "Bacterial small subunit ribosomal RNA", at positions 29 to 524 of the family's 1533-position model. The record is from RNAcentral.